CCUACGGGAGGCAGCAGUGGGGAAUUUUGGACAAUGGGCGCAAGCCUGAUCCAGCCAUGCCGCGUGAGUGAAGAGGGCCUUCGGGUUGUAAGGCUCUUUCAGACGGAAAGAAAUCGCACGAUCCAAUACAUCGUGUGGAUGACGGUACCGUAAGAAGAAGCACCGGCUAACUACGUGCCAGCAGCCGCGGUAAUACGUAGGGUGCGAGCGUUAAUCGGAAUUACUGGGCGUAAAGCGUGCGCAGGCGGUUUCGUAAGACAGAUGUGAAAUCCCCGGGCUUAACCUGGGAACUGCAUUUGUGACUGCGAGACUAGAGUGUAGCAGAGGGGGGUAGAAUUCCACGUGUAGCAGUGAAAUGCGUAGAGAUGUGGAGGAAUACCGAUGGCGAAGGCAGCCCCCUGGGCUAACACUGACGCUCAUGCACGAAAGCGUGGGGAGCAAACAGGAUUAGAUACCCUGGUAGUCCACGCCCUAAACGAUGUCAACUAGGUGUUGGGGAAGGAGACUUCUUUAGUACCGCAGCUAACGCGUGAAGUUGACCGCCUGGGGAGUACGGUCGCAAGAUUAAAACUCAAAGGAAUUGACGG
This 587-nucleotide ribosomal RNA is filed under the name Gallionella sp. RNAcentral's name for it is "bacterial SSU rRNA". It matches the Rfam family "Bacterial small subunit ribosomal RNA", at positions 338 to 916 of the family's 1533-position model. Lineage: Bacteria; Pseudomonadati; Pseudomonadota; Betaproteobacteria; Nitrosomonadales; Gallionellaceae. The record is from RNAcentral.